UCAUCUGGAAACUGGUCCUAGCUGUC
Molecule: non-coding RNA, 26 nt
Filed under: Mus musculus (house mouse)
Lineage: Eukaryota; Metazoa; Chordata; Mammalia; Rodentia; Muridae
Also listed under: 1 other name
Source: RNAcentral